UAAGAAGGCUCCUGCAGAGCUCUGAGUCAGCAGAGGGGGAAGGCCUGUAAAGAACGAGAAACUCCAGGAAUAGUACCCUGUGCUUUCUUUUUUUCUCUGCUAUGAAAACUGUCUCGCCUGAGCACAAAAAAAGAAGCAUGAAUUCCUUGUUGCUGGAAUGGAUUUAUCAGAAGGGUCACAUAAAAUGCACCCAGAUAACCAAAGGUAGCACAGAAAGCACCACAGAGGGCAGACCUCAGUUGGUUAACAGGUGAAGAAUCAACAGUCCUGUCACCAGACCAGAUCCAGAGAACAGAAAUGUCCUGUCUGACAGGAGCAAGGAUAUGAGAUGGGGACAGGAAGCUGAAGAGGAUCCUGAUGGGAGUGGGUGAAAAUCCGCUGACUCUGCUGCGUGUUGGUAUAAAUGACACUGCCUGAUUCUCACUGGAACAGAUCAAGGAUGACUACGCUUGGCUGGGUAAGAUGCAGAAGCUCAAGUGAUGGGGGUUUUUCAGUAGAAUACUUCUGGUCCCUAGAGAAAGAGGGUGAAGUUGUGACAAGAUAAUAGAGAUCAACAGAUGGCUCAAAGGUUGGUGCUAUGAGGAGGAUUUGGGGAUGAUUUACCAUUGGGAGGCAUAGGCAGAAAGAGGACUCGUGUUGACUGAUGAAGUUCACUUGAGUACCUAGGGUAUUAGUGAUUCUGGGAUUAAAGCUGGCCUGAUUGAUGGGGAAGGGAUUUAAACUGGGAGAUGUUUGGAGAGACUUAUGAC
Long non-coding RNA from Chelonia mydas (Green sea turtle), 749 nucleotides. RefSeq lists it as uncharacterized. The record is from RefSeq and is a predicted model, not a curated record. The transcript is spliced from 3 exons. Lineage: Eukaryota; Metazoa; Chordata; Testudines; Cheloniidae.